This 256-nucleotide ribosomal RNA is filed under the name uncultured bacterium. RNAcentral's name for it is "partial 16S ribosomal RNA". It matches the Rfam family "Bacterial small subunit ribosomal RNA", at positions 28 to 265 of the family's 1533-position model. The record is from RNAcentral.
GACGAACGCUGGCGGCGUGCUUAACACAUGCAAGUCGAACGCGAAAGUUCCCUUCGGGGAAUAAGUAGAGUGGCGCACGGGUGAGUAACACGUAGGUAAUCUACCUUCGGGUGGGGAAUAACCCAGGGAAACUUGGGCUAACACCGCAUGAUGCAGCGGCACCACAUGGUGACAGUUGUUAAAAGCGGGGGUAUUUUCGGACCUCGCGCCUGAAGAGGNGCCUGCGGCGGAUUAGCUAGUUGGUGAGGUAACGGCU